AUGCCAUGGUGUGGACACUUCACCAACAUGCCGUUAAACCUUUCCCAAGUUUCUUGGAAAGUUUCAAUUAUUUUUUGCCUGAACUGCAAUAUUUCAUCGAUUUGCCU
RNAcentral lists this small nucleolar RNA (107 nucleotides) under Nicotiana sylvestris (wood tobacco). RNAcentral's name for it is "Plant small nucleolar RNA R71". It matches the Rfam family "Plant small nucleolar RNA R71". Rfam says of the family: R71 is a member of the C/D box family of snoRNAs containing the C (UGAUGA) and D (CUGA) box motifs. Multiple nearly identical copies of this snoRNA have been identified in Arabidopsis, and it is thought to function as a 2'-O-ribose methylation guide for 18S ribosomal RNA. Lineage: Eukaryota; Viridiplantae; Streptophyta; Magnoliopsida; Solanales; Solanaceae. RNAcentral also lists the same sequence under 1 other name. The record is from Rfam by way of RNAcentral.